This 439-nucleotide long non-coding RNA is filed under the name Triticum aestivum (bread wheat). RNAcentral's name for it is "long non-coding RNA (TAES_LNC019875)". The record is from RNAcentral. Lineage: Eukaryota; Viridiplantae; Streptophyta; Magnoliopsida; Poales; Poaceae.
CCCCUUAAAACAGCGUUGCUGGCAGGAACUGUGUGUACUACAGUGAGUCUCGAUUCUAAAGCAAAGAUGGUGAGUGUUUUCUUCCAGUGUUGAAUUUAGUUUAUGAAGAGCAUCUAGAUGCUUGUUUCUGGUCGCUAACGAAAACGUCCUCUAGUUUCAGGUGUGGUUGGCGCACGAUACUCCUAGCUCAAGGAGAUCCCCAACAACUUCUGGAUCAAGGGUGUAACGAUGCCAUCACACUUCGUCCUCUAGGAACCUGCAUGAUCAUUGUUACCAUGAUCUGAACGGCGCUCCGUCUAGCUUCAUUUAGCAUAGUAUUUUAACCAAUAGACUCUAGAGAGUAGUGACACAACAUUUUCUCUUCAAAUACAAUCAAUUAGUGGUAUACACACAUUUAGCAUGUUAUUAGAAUCUCUAGAUAUAAUUGGUUCGAAGAAAA